GGAGGAGUUGAGGGAGCUAACGGGAAGAAAAACUAAAAGCAAGAGAAAGCAAGGUUGAAUUUGGGCAGUGGACGGCUGGAGGAGAAAACAGAGAAAGGGAGGGGCUGAAGUCUGAGAGGAAAAGGAUUAGCGGCGAGAGUUUCUGGGCAGAAAAGAAAGGAAACAAUAGAAAGAUUUAGUAGUGGCUGAAGCCGAGAGCAAAAGGGAGAGGAGAAGAAAAUGCAGAGGAUUCCAGGGAGGAUGGCGGCUAAGAAAAUUGAGAGGAGAGAUUAGGGAGUGACCGACUGAGAACAAAGUGAAAAGAGAGGGGGUUAGGUUUGAAAGCGUCAAUAGAAAAACGGCAAAGGGAGCAACGGGAAGGGCCAGAAAAAUUCCAGAUUUUGCACUGCCUUCAUCAAAGCCAGUUGCAGGUCCCUUCUGAAUUCCGGUCUCCAUUUUCCUCAAGACAAGAUCUGUCAGGUAACCUCUUCUUUUCAUCUUUCUCCUCUAUACAUACACAGAAUUAUAUUUGGUUUCUGUCUUCAUUUCCUGUUUCUGGUCGGCACUUUCAUUCCCUGUUCCUAUCCCUGUUCCUGCCGAUUCCAUGUUCCUGUUGACUCAGAUUUUUGUGUCGAUAUGAAUUAGGAGAAGAAAAUGAAGUCUUGAUGAAUAUGUGGGCUUUACUUUAUCGUUUCAGUCUUUGUUCUCCAUGUUGAAGUGAUUAUCAGUUUCUGGUUUGAGUUGGAAAGUUUGAAACUCACCUGAGCUUGAUAAAACCGUGACUUUGAAACCAUGUGAAUCCAGUUUUUGCUCUCACUCGCAUGCUUAGUGUCAAAACUUGAUGAUUUUUUUUAGAAGUCUGUCUAGAGGUUCCCUUUAUCUCUGAUGCGUCCGUGAAGUCAAGAUUGCGGGAAAACGGCAACGAGCUCGAGUUUUAGCUCGUUGCAGCAGUCCCUUGUCGCAUGGUUAGUUUCGAGUUUUACCAAAAUUUUGCUAUCUAGUGUCAAUAAAAUUGCCCUGUUGUCUUAUGGAUUGGUAUGUCUUUCUUUUGUGCUGUUUCUUUUGGUAGUAAUACAUGUGAGUUGCAUGUUUUUGUUGGGAUGGGAACGGACAUAAUAUAUUGGCAUGUAAGCAAUGGAUUUGGCAUCCAUGAAGAGUUUUUGAGUAAACUUUAGCAGGUCGUAGUUCAUCCGUGUGUUUCCUCUUGCUGUUUUCCUUGCCUGUAACAACCCAGUCCACCAAGAGGCUUUCAUUACCUACUUGAUGAUAUAAAUUGGGCAAAGGGUGUUGGGUUUGCAUGUUUGGGGAAGCUGAAAUGCUUGAACCAUAUGCGGAUGCUUAAUGAAAAAGUGAAUUCCAGGUUGCUAAACCACUGUCACACGAAUGUUUUGUCCAGAUUUUACAUGCUUUCGUGUCCAACUUUUGGUGUUUCAAUCUACAAGUUUCAUGAUGCAAAAAUAAGAAGAAUGUGUGGUAGUUUGUUUGGAUUUAAUUGUGUUUGAAAAGCUGUUUUUUAAUUUGUGGGGAAGUGCAAGAAUUGCAGAGGCUUCAGCAACCAGAAAUGCUGCAAUGAAAGGAAACCAAAUAGGAGGAAGCUCUAAGGCUUAGUGAUCCUAUCCUGGGGUUUCCUUUGCAUGAUUUGGAUGUUAAUUGCCAACGAUUUUACUGUUUGGAUUCAAAGUGUUUGAUGUUCAGUCUAGAAAGUUUAAUUGAAGCAUAUGUUUGAAUCUGAAAGUGAAAUGGCAGCAGGUCGGAACUGUGGAAAGUCUUUGUAGCUGCUGCAUUUUUUGUAUAUUUUCCCUUGGCAGAAAACCUUGUCCGCACUUUUGUUUGCAUAAAGAUCUUUAGUGUUUCUGAUUUUUGUCAUUUCCUUGCAUGCAUGACAAGAACUUGAAGUUGGUUUUCGAUUUGAGAGGUUAGUGAGUCUGCCAAUGCGAGAUAGCAGAAGUUUAGCAUGAAAAUUUGCAGAGAACCUUGCUGCAUUUUUUGUUUUCCUUUUCCUUUCGGUCAACUCCAAUUCUUUGCUUCAAUCCUGCAACAAAAUUUCAUGUUUAGUUGAUGAUUGAUAGUUAAAAUCUUGGUUUGGUGAAUUUGUUUGCAUGAUGAAAUGGAUGAAAGGUUGUAACUGAAAUUUGCAGAAACCAGCAAUGAGAAAGGAAGCAUUCUGCGUGUUUUGCAUGAAAAUAUUCUCAAAAUUGCAGUCUAGUCCCUUGUUUCUUGGAUAACUCAACUAGGGCCCAGUUAAUUGAAUAAUUUCAUCAAUUUGGUCCUUGGUAGUUUUAAUUUUACAACUUUAUUGCAUGUUUGUUUCAAUUAAUUACUAUGCUUUGUUUCAAUUGCAAUUCAGUCAUGACUUUAGGGGUUUUGUGACCAAGUGAGCUUGUGUUUGCUUAUUUUCUUUAAUUUUUCCAAAUAAAUUGGUACAUUGACCAUUUCUUUUAUUUUGGAGGAUAAAUAAGUGAUUUCAUUCCGUUUAAGGCAUCAACUCAAGGGAGGUAUAACUUCUUUUAUCUUUUUUUGUCUCUCUUAUGUGAACCAACGUGCUACGUGAGAAAUACAUGUCUACUUUGCUUUCUUAGCCUUUCCUUAAUUCCUUGCAUUUAUUUCAUCUACUUUUACUUUUAUUUAAGUUAUUCUUUAAUGGGGUAUGUGUACACCUCUUGGCUUGUAAUAGAUAGGGCUUGGAGGAGCAUUCAAUGAAGACCUAUCGAAGUCAUGUGCCUAGCUAGCAAAUGUAAUAGUUAGGGCUUUAAUUGCCUUAUGUGUCUUGCAUGCUUAGUUGCUACGUGUUAAUUUGCUUUGUUAGGGCCUUGCAUCUAGUCGAGCAUGCUAAAUGUUAUGUGCUAUGUGUUUAUAAGUGUUUGGCAUGUCUACUUGCUUUCCAUAGCCUGAAUGAAUGUGAUGGAUGAAUGUACGUUUCCACUAGUCCAACGCUAGUCGGAAUUCAUAGAAUGAACUAGUCCAAUGCUAGACCCUUAGGGACUUCCCCUCGUUAGUACAUGUUUGCAUAUUCAUUACAUGUCAUGCAUUCUUUUUAGUUUUAUCAUUUUGCAUGCCCCUCGAACCCCUUUUCCCUCCAUUUUAGGAUUUUUGCAUUUCAUGCUAGUUAUAGGGUUCAUUUGCUUGAGAGUCCCCUUAAAUAUGGGAUAUAGACGAGUGUGGCUUUUUCUAAACCUUAGCACGCUUGUAUUCCCUCUAUAAAAGGGCAAAUUGAGUCACAAUUUAGGUCCCCCGUACCCAAUAUGCAUGAAUUCCCUAGGCUCAUGCAUUUUUAAAUCCACUCUACCAUUUUAUACCCUCAUCACACUUUCAUUUUUCCUCCCAUUUUGCACACGUGCACCUUUAUAUUUUCACUUGCACACGAGCACUUUUGUCACUACUUGCACACAUGCACUCCAUAUUAUCAUUUCACAUACUGCACCUUGCCCACUCACGUGCACACUCUCACUUACACAUUAUUGUCUUUUAUUGCUUUUUCAAACUCAUGCCCUCACAUUACAUACAUGCAUUCCAUUCAUUUGCAUCCCACUCGCAUUAUUCAUGACUCCUUCAAAGGAUCGUUGUUGGGCUUCACAAUUAAUGUGAUUGGCACCACUCAACCUUUGAAGAGAAAUUUCCCCC
This 3600-nucleotide long non-coding RNA is filed under the name Coffea arabica (coffee). RNAcentral's name for it is "long non-coding RNA (CARA_LNC006292)". Lineage: Eukaryota; Viridiplantae; Streptophyta; Magnoliopsida; Gentianales; Rubiaceae. The record is from RNAcentral.